ACGGAGGAUGCGAGCGUUAUCCGGAUUUAUUGGGUUUAAAGGGAGCGCAGACGGGUUUUUAAGUCAGUUGUGAAAGUUCGGGGCUUAACCUUGGAAUUGCAGUUGAAACUGGAGACCUUGAGUGCGGACGCGGCAUGCGGAAUUCGUGGUGUAGCGGUGAAAUGCUUAGAUAUCACGAAGAACUCCGAUUGCGAAGGCAGCAUGCCAGGCCGUAACUGACGUUCAUGCUCGAAAGUGCGGGUAUCAAACAGGAUUAGAUACCCUGGUAGUCCGCACGGUAAACGAUGAAUACUCGCUGUCGGCGAUAGAAUGUCGGCGGCUUAGCGAAAGCGUUAAGUAUUCCACCUGGGGAGUACGCCGGCAACGGUG
Molecule: ribosomal RNA, 369 nt
Filed under: uncultured bacterium
Lineage: Bacteria
Description: bacterial SSU rRNA
Rfam family: Bacterial small subunit ribosomal RNA
Source: RNAcentral